RNAcentral lists this long non-coding RNA (279 nucleotides) under Brassica napus (rape). RNAcentral's name for it is "long non-coding RNA (BNAP_LNC025253)". Lineage: Eukaryota; Viridiplantae; Streptophyta; Magnoliopsida; Brassicales; Brassicaceae. The record is from RNAcentral.
UUUGACUAAGGGUUCAUUAAUGCUUCUACACCAAUAGGUCUGGAUUUCGAUUCCCGGAGAAAGCGGAAUUAUGCGAAUUAAUGGAGAAGCGGCUUACAAGAAAUUUGCAGCAUAGCGCAAAGAGUAUCGUCAAGGGUGGAUCCGAUAGGGCGGCUCAGGUAAUGCAGUCAGACGUGAAUCUUCAUAAGGCGGGUAGAAUUGUAGGCUGUGGAAUCGUCUGUAAUAUUUCUCCGAGUUUGUAAUAGCAUAAUAUAUCCAGUGUUAAAAAGAAAAGUAGAC